RNAcentral lists this long non-coding RNA (477 nucleotides) under Panax ginseng (ginseng). RNAcentral describes it as "long non-coding RNA (PGIN_LNC011812)". The record is from RNAcentral. Lineage: Eukaryota; Viridiplantae; Streptophyta; Magnoliopsida; Apiales; Araliaceae.
UUCGGCGUGCCUACGCUGCCAAAUGUGGAAAAACUCCCAAUGUUGUCAACUCUGAUGGAUCUCCAGCAUCCGCCAGCUCCUGCACAAAUCUCUUCUGCCACCGUUGGAUACAUGUGUUUUCUAACAUGGCUUCCUGAUCAGAGCGAGGGAAAGGUGCUACUGCCCAGUUCUUUUUGCAUUCUUUCAGCCCCUGUUAAGAUAAGAGGAUUGUAGCGAGCGUAGCCCUCUUAAUAAGCGUUAGUGAGCGCAACGUUUCACUCCCUUUUUAAGGGCUAGGUCCUCAGAUCCGUAGAUUCUAGAGGUGUUUACUCUUACCAUUUGUGGAAAUCCCGCUAUUAGUUAUUAGUUGGUAUCCCCCGAAGCAGGUAUUUGGCAGGUGAGGGCAACCAGGCAACCCUCAGUUACUAGCUGUGGAUAGGAAUAGGAUCCGGGUACAAAGAUGAUGGAGGUCCUUCUUCCACCUCUGGAUCCAGACAA